This 1996-nucleotide ribosomal RNA is filed under the name human gut metagenome. RNAcentral describes it as "bacterial LSU rRNA". It matches the Rfam family "Bacterial large subunit ribosomal RNA", at positions 1 to 1990 of the family's 2925-position model. The record is from RNAcentral.
ACAAGUUGACAAGAGCAUCGGGUGGAUGCCUUGGCGUCGGAAGGCGAUGAAAGACGUGGUAAGCUGCGAAAAGCCUCGGGGAGAAGCUAAACAUUCUAUGAUCCGGGGAUUUCUGAAUGGGGAAACCCGGCGGAGGUCAUGCUCCGUCGCGGGUACUUGAAUACAUAAAGUGCCCAGCGCCAACUCAGGGAAGUGAAACAUCUCAGUACCUGAAGGAAAAGAAAUCAAACGAGACUCCCAAAGUAGCGGCGAGCGAAAUGGGAUGAGCCCAAACCGGCUGGAUUCGUUCAGCCGGGGUUGUAGGGCCGGCAUAUGUGAUUCAUGAGUAGGCAGGGGAAAUGAGCUGGAAAGCUCUGCCAGAGCGGGUGACAGCCCCGUACCUGAAACCCAAAGCGACACAGCCGGUACCUGAGUACCGCGAGACACGUGGAACCUCGUGGGAAUCCGGGAGGACCAUCUUCCAAGGCUAAGUACUAACCGACGACCGAUAGUGUACCAGUACCGUGAGGGAAAGGUGAAAAGAACCUCUGUUAGAGGAGUGAAAUAGAAUCUGAAACCUGGUGCUUACAAGCUGUGAGAGCGGACUUGUUCCGUGAUCACGUGCCUUUUGCAUAAUGAGUCAGCGAGUUAAUCUGUACUGCAAGGUUAAGCGCAAGUGGAGCCGUAGGGAAACCGAGUCUGAUAAGGGCGAUGAGUAGUGCGGAUUAGACCCGAAACCGGGUGAUCUAUCCAUGAGCAGGUUGAAGCAAGGGUAAAACCUUGUGGAGGACCGAACCAAUACCGGCUGAAAACGGUUUGGAUGACUUGUGGAUAGGGGUGAAAGGCCAAUCAAACCCGGUGAUAGCUGGUUCUCCCCGAAAUAUAUUGAGGUAUAGCCUCAUGGAUUGUCUACCGGAGGUAAAGCACUGACAGGGCUAGGGGUCCUACCAGAUUACCAAACCCUAUCAAACUCAGAAUGCCGGUCAGAUGUACCAUGGGAGUCAGACGGCGGGUGCUAAGGUCCGUCGUCGAGAGGGUAAGAGCCCAGAUCAACAGCUAAGGUCUCCAAAUCUAUGCUCAGUGGUUAAGGUGGUGACGUUGUAGAGACACCCAGGACGUUGGCUUAGAAGCAGCCAUCGUUUAAAGAAAGCGUAAUAGCUCACUGGUCUAAUGACGUUGCGCCGAAAAUGUAACGGGGCUAAGCAUAGUACCGAAGCUUUGAAUUCCGCGAAUGCGGUCUGGUAGGGGAGCGUUCUUCACGGGCUGAAGGUGUGUCGUAAGGCAUGCUGGACUGUGGAGAAGUGAUUAUGCUGACAUGAGUAACGAUAAAACGGGUGAAAAACCCGUUCGCCGUAAACCCAAGGUUUUCCGGGUAAAGGUAAUCUUCCCGGAGUUAGUCGGCCCCUAAGGCGAGGCUGAAAGGCGUAGCUGAUGGGAAACGUGUUAAUAUUCACGUACUUGUGUGUUCGCGCGAUGAAGGGACGCAGGAAGAUAGGCAAGCCGGGCGCUGGUUGUCCCGGUGCAAGUGUGUAGGGAUGAAGAAUUGGCAAAUCCGUUCUUCUCUAUCCUGAGACACGAGUCCGUGACCGAAAGGUCUGAAGUUGUUGAGUCUAUGCUGCCUAGAAAAGCUUCUAAGUAUAGGACACGCAAACCGUACCGGAAACCAACUCAGGUGGGUGGGAUGAAUAAUCCAAGGCGCUCGAGAGAACUCUGGCCAAGGAACUCGGCAAAAUAACCCCGUACCUUCGGAAGAAGGGGUGCUUUUUAGGGUGAAGCGAUUCACUCUGUCGAGCCCUGAAAAGCCGCAGAGAAAUGGUGGUGGCGACUGUUUACUAAAAACAUAGGUCUGUGCCAAGUCGUAUAGACGACGUAUACGGACUGACGCCUGCCCGGUGCUGGAAGGUUAAAAGGAGGAGUCAGCGCAAGCGAAGCUCCGAAUUGAAGCCCCAGUAAACGGCGGCCGUAACUAUAACGGUCCUAAGGUAGCGAAAUUCCUUGUCGGGUAAGUUCCGACCUG